This 281-nucleotide ribosomal RNA is filed under the name uncultured bacterium. Its description in RNAcentral is "partial 16S ribosomal RNA". It matches the Rfam family "Bacterial small subunit ribosomal RNA", at positions 505 to 784 of the family's 1533-position model. The record is from RNAcentral.
GUGCCAGCAGCCGCGGUAAUACGUAGGGGGCGAGCGUUGUCCGGAUUUAUUGGGCGUAAAGAGCUCGUAGGCGGUUCAACAAGUCGGUCGUGAAAGUUCAGGGCUCAACCCUGAAAUGUCGAUCGAUACUGUUGUGGCUAGGAUACGGUAGAGGUGAGUGGAAUUCCGAGUGUAGCGGUGAAAUGCGUAGAUAUUAUGAAGAAUACCAGUGGCGAAGGCGGCCUCCUGGAUCUGUACUGACACUGAGGUGCGAAAGCGUGGGUAGCGAACAGGAUUAGAUA